This 539-nucleotide ribosomal RNA is filed under the name uncultured bacterium. RNAcentral's name for it is "partial 16S ribosomal RNA". It matches the Rfam family "Bacterial small subunit ribosomal RNA", at positions 355 to 907 of the family's 1533-position model. The record is from RNAcentral.
UGGGGAAUCUUAGACAAUGGGCGCAAGCCUGAUCUAGCCAUGCCGCGUGGGUGAUGAAGGCCUUAGGGUCGUAAAGCCCUUUCGCCGGGGAAGAUAAUGACGGUACCCGGUAAAGAAACCCCCGGGCUAACUCCGUGCCAGCAGCCGCGGUAAUACGGAGGGGGUUAGCAUUGUUCGGAAUGACUGGGCGUAAAGCGCGCGUAGGCGGAUCAUCAAGUCGGGGGUGAAAUCCCGGGGCUCAACCCCGGAAUGGCCUUCGAGACUGGUGGUCUUGAGUUCGAGAGAGGUGAGUGGAAUUCCGAGUGUAGAGGUGAAAUUCGUAGAUAUUCGGAGGAACACCAGUGGCGAAGGCGGCUCACUGGCUCGACACUGACGCUGAGGUGCGAAAGCGUGGGGGAGCAAACAGGAUUAGAUACCCUGGUAGUCCACGCCGUAAACGAUGAAUGCCAGACGUCGGGGGGCUUGCCCUUCGGUGUCACACCUAACGGAUUAAGCAUUCCGCUUGGGGGAGUACGGUCGCAAGAUUAAAAACUCAAAGG